Molecule: non-coding RNA, 73 nt
Organism: Corchorus olitorius
Lineage: Eukaryota; Viridiplantae; Streptophyta; Magnoliopsida; Malvales; Malvaceae
Source: the annotation of a GenBank genome assembly
UCUGUUGUAGUCUAGUUGAUUAGGAUACUCGUCUCUCACGUGAGAGACCCGGUUUCGAGUCUUGUCUCCAAAA